RNAcentral lists this ribosomal RNA (253 nucleotides) under uncultured bacterium. RNAcentral's name for it is "partial 16S ribosomal RNA". It matches the Rfam family "Bacterial small subunit ribosomal RNA", at positions 524 to 776 of the family's 1533-position model. The record is from RNAcentral.
UACGUAGGGACCAAGCGUUGUUCGGAUUUACUGGGCGUAAAGGGCGCGUAGGCGGCGCGGUAAGUCACUUGUGAAAUCUCUGAGCUUAACUCAGAACGGCCAAGUGAUACUGCAGUGCUAGAGUGUGGAAGGGGCAAUCGGAAUUCUUGGUGUAGCGGUGAAAUGCGUAGAUAUCAAGAGGAACACCUGAGGUGAAGACGGGUUGCUGGGCCAACACUGACGCUGAGGCGCGAAAGCGUGGGGAGCAAACAGG